UGCGCAGGUGGGCUUGUAAGUCAGUGGUGAAAUACUGCCGCUUAACGGUAGAACUGCCAUUGAUACUGCAAGUCUUGAAUAUGGUUGAGGUAGGCGGAAUGUGUCGUGUAGCGGUGAAAUGCAUAGAUAUGACACAGAACGCCGAUUGCGAAGGCAGCUUACUAAGCCAUUAUUGACGCUGAGGCACGAAAGCGUGGGGAGCGAACCGGAUUAGAUACCCUGGUAGUCC
RNAcentral lists this ribosomal RNA (229 nucleotides) under uncultured bacterium. RNAcentral describes it as "partial 16S ribosomal RNA". It matches the Rfam family "Bacterial small subunit ribosomal RNA", at positions 568 to 796 of the family's 1533-position model. The record is from RNAcentral.